RNAcentral lists this ribosomal RNA (463 nucleotides) under uncultured bacterium. RNAcentral's name for it is "bacterial SSU rRNA". It matches the Rfam family "Bacterial small subunit ribosomal RNA", at positions 335 to 790 of the family's 1533-position model. The record is from RNAcentral.
ACUCCUACGGGAGGCAGCAGUGGGGAAUAUUGCACAAUGGGCGCAAGCCUGAUGCAGCCAUGCCGCGUGUGUGAAGAAGGCCUUCGGGUUGUAAAGCACUUUCAGUCGUGAGGAAGGUAGUGUAGUUAAUAGCUGCAUUAUUUGACGUUAGCGACAGAAGAAGCACCGGCUAACUCCGUGCCAGCAGCCGCGGUAAUACGGAGGGUGCGAGCGUUAAUCGGAAUUACUGGGCGUAAAGCGCAUGCAGGUGGUUUGUUAAGUCAGAUGUGAAAGCCCGGGGCUCAACCUCGGAAUAGCAUUUGAAACUGGCAGACUAGAGUACUGUAGAGGGGGGUAGAAUUUCAGGUGUAGCGGUGAAAUGCGUAGAGAUCUGAAGGAAUACCGGUGGCGAAGGCGGCCCCCUGGACAGAUACUGACACUCAGAUGCGAAAGCGUGGGGAGCAAACAGGAUUAGAUACCCUGG